AUGCUUUGCCCCUGACCUCUUUUCCCUAUCUCUACUCCAAAUUUAGGUCAUAACAUAGUUGGGCCAUUGCUGUUUAAACAGAACACCCAGAAAGGCGUGCAAGCCAGGGCAAGAAGCAGCACUGAAUAUAAUCAGGGUGCAGAUUAACUAGAUGAAAACUUCACAUUCUAAGUGGCUACAACUAAAGACGAUCAUGGAUUUCUGAUGCUCUUAACCUCUGGAAAGAUGUUACACUUACUGAAGGUUAAUCACAUCUUUUGAUCCUGGGCUCCCCCUGUACUGUUUUAUACACGUCGCCUUCAGAAGCUUUCCUUAGCUUGAAAAGAACUGUGGAAGGAAAAAAAAAACAACCCUUUGGCCUAUUGGCCUGACAUUGGAGACACAAAUUUGAAUAUCACAUCAGACAAGCUAACUUCUUACUGGUCUGC
This is a long non-coding RNA of Alligator sinensis (Chinese alligator), 428 nucleotides long. RefSeq lists it as uncharacterized. NCBI's taxonomy places the organism in Eukaryota, Metazoa, Chordata, Crocodylia, Alligatoridae. The transcript has 4 exons. The record is from RefSeq and is a predicted model, not a curated record.